ACCCUUGUGGAGGAGGACGCCGAAGGUGGGGCUAAUGACUGGGGUGAAGUCGUAACAAGGUAGCCGUACCGGAAGGUGCGGCUGGAUCACCUCCUAACAGGGAGACAACAAAAUGUUUAAUAUUAUUAUUUUGUCACCUUAGGUCGAUCGGUAUCUCACGUUCUUAAUUUAUUAAGAAUUUCAUUUCCUAAGUUUUUCUAGGUCACACCCAUUAUUUUUCCUGGGCCAUUAGCUCAGGUGGUUAGAGCGCACCCCUGAUAAGGGUGAGGUCCCUGGUUCAAGUCCAGGAUGGCCCAUAUCUCUAUGUUGGGGGUAUAGCUCAGUUGGUAGAGCGCCUGCUUUGCAAGCAGGAUGUCAGCGGUUCGAGUCCGCUUACCUCCACUGAUUACCACCUCUUCCAUAACUGGUAGUAAAGGAAAUGUUUUGAGUCGUGAUCAAAUUCUGAAAGAAUCUAGCUUCCUAAUGAAAUCAUUAAGAUGCUGGACUCAUUGAAUUAAUUUCAUUGUUUUCAGAGAACCUUGACAACUGCAUAGAUUAUUUUUAAAGACAAUAAGCAUCUUGAAUGAUGCAGAUUUAUUAUUUGUGCGAAUGCAUUAAUAACAAUUCUAUUAAGCUGAUGCUUCAAUUUUUGAAGUUAUUGGUCAAGCUACAAAGGGCUCACGGAGGAUACCUAGGCACAC
Molecule: unclassified non-coding RNA, 680 nt
Filed under: uncultured Prochlorococcus sp.
Lineage: Bacteria; Bacillati; Cyanobacteriota; Cyanophyceae; Synechococcales; Prochlorococcaceae
Description: partial may contain 16S ribosomal RNA, 16S-23S ribosomal RNA intergenic spacer, and 23S ribosomal RNA
Rfam family: Bacterial small subunit ribosomal RNA (bases 1-97)
Source: RNAcentral